This is a long non-coding RNA of Symsagittifera roscoffensis, 1372 nucleotides long. RefSeq lists it as uncharacterized. The record is from RefSeq and is a predicted model, not a curated record. NCBI's taxonomy places the organism in Eukaryota, Metazoa, Xenacoelomorpha, Acoela, Convolutidae. The transcript has 2 exons.
GUAGAAAAUGAUGAAUGCGGGUACAAAUUAAGUUGAGAAUAACAGCCCACAUUCCAGUUCGCCACCCAAAAGGCGUCUGAAAAUUGAAAAAUGAACCUUUCUUUAUUAGUAUACUACCCUUAAAGGGCAAUAAGAAAGGGGUAAAAUCAGCUUUUAUUUCACUUUCACUUUUAAUGUGAGGAAACAUUGGUCGAGUUAGAAAAUGAGAACUUAGUCCCCUGACAAUAGUUAGACCACUUUUAGAUGAGCGAGAGCUUCUUUCAUUAUAGAAUUCUGUUAGAGUACGGUUGUCCCUUUUCCUACCAUACUACCACAUUUUACACUUCCGCUAUUAUUGUCCAAAACCACUCUGAUCAUUUUAUUAAAGUGAAUUUUCCCAAAGUAUACUUUAAAAAACCCAUUUGAAGGAAACCACCGAUAAUGAAGGAAAAAAGACUUUUUACUUAUUAUUUUUGUGAUAUCCAAAAUAAUUUUGUGUCAGUAUUUUACUACGCAUUGAUCUUUUGAUAAAUAUAUUUAUCGCUGAUUCUGAUUAUCUAAUUACAAAACUUGCCGCCAUAAUCACCCCCGAAUUUACCAGCGCUUCUUCAAUUAUCGAAAUCCAGUAUAUAAAGUUUUGUUUAAUUACCAGCCUAAAAGACUUAGAAAAGCCCAUAUUUGAAAAGGAAACGCAAGAAGACGUUUCUUCACCUGUCGGAUUAUUCGGGUUUAAAUUCGGAUUUAGUUCGAAAGACUAUGCUCGCUAACUUUCCAUUUCAUCUUUGAUUACAGUUUAUUGGUUUACACAGUUUUCUAUAACUUUAUAAUCAGUUAAAUUAACCAGUUGCAUAACGUUUGAAUCAGAUAAACUUGACAGUUGCUCAUUUUAUUACAUAAUACUAUCAGGGUUUAGUUGAAGAGGGACUCAUUUAGCCGAAAAAGAGGGAGAAUGAAGAGGGUGGCAGUUAUCAUAAUCGCGUUCGGCAUCACGAUCAUUAUGGUAAUUGCAUGUCUGGUCUCAUUUGACGUGCAGCCAUCGCCUUGUCUGGACCUUCUGACCAAAGAGAAAGACCUCCUGAACAACACCUGGACUCCCCAAUCUUAUCAUAACCUGACAGAGUUAUGUAAUAACUCCACGUGGUACUCCAAUCUACUUGAGGAACGAUAUCAAAGCGACAAGUCCUACAGGUACAAAGGAUGACGUAAUCAUCCACUCUGUGACGUAAUAUCAGGCAAAUAAGCGAUGGAAAAGCUGGAGAAAGACGAUCUCGCAAGAUGAAAUUUCAUCGUGGGGAUCAAAUUUUUAGCUAAAUUUUUGAGUGCACUGUAUAAUAAUUUCAGUUAUCUUAAAUUUGUAUAUAAAUAUUCUUAAGAAAAAAGUUUUGGUUUCCUG